GUAGAGAAUUGAGAGUAUGAGAUGGAGAGUGUAGAGAUUAGAGAGAGAUUAGAGUGAGAGAGAGAUCAUCCAUUAAUUAGCAAAUAUUCUCUAAGAUUUGCAAAUCCCCUUUAAAGAUCACAAGAUCAAAUUCAAUCUUGCAAAGCCAAAUCUCUCUCUCCCUCACUACAAUUUUCGGCCAACAUCUCUCUCUCCCUCACACAAUUUUCGCCCAUCAUCACUCAUCUCCUUCACCUCACACUUCCACCAUUUUCCACCAUUAGAGCAAACCUUCGAAGCUUCCAACAAUACUACCAAACACCUCACAUCACUCUAAAACUUUCCAUAAACACUAUCUAUCCUCUUUUAAUCAAGAGAUUCCUUGAAGAAGAGCCUCAAAAUUUAGAGUGAGAAAGUGUAGACUUUGGUAAGAACUUGGACACGAGCAGAGCAAGGAAGUAAGUAACUCCACUUUGACGGGAGUUUUUGAGUAAGGUCUUCAGGCUAAGCGAGGAGUGAGAUUGGUCUGGUGCUGGUGGGGAUUCGUUAGAUGACGUAUUUACUUUAUCGUAUUUCCUUUUUAUCGAUAAAGUCUUGAUGUGAAGUUACUUUAAAUAUGAAUCAAGUAAUAUACUCACGGUUAUGUGUCUCCAUACAUGUAACUGGUUCGCCUUUUGCUGCGAUA
Long non-coding RNA from Salvia miltiorrhiza (redroot sage), 664 nucleotides. RefSeq lists it as uncharacterized. The record is from RefSeq and is a predicted model, not a curated record. Lineage: Eukaryota; Viridiplantae; Streptophyta; Magnoliopsida; Lamiales; Lamiaceae. The transcript is spliced from 3 exons.